This 140-nucleotide ribosomal RNA is filed under the name Escherichia coli. Its description in RNAcentral is "partial 23S ribosomal RNA". It matches the Rfam family "Bacterial large subunit ribosomal RNA", at positions 2803 to 2925 of the family's 2925-position model. RNAcentral also lists the same sequence under 6 other names. The record is from RNAcentral. Lineage: Bacteria; Pseudomonadati; Pseudomonadota; Gammaproteobacteria; Enterobacterales; Enterobacteriaceae.
GAUGAGUUCUCCCUGAGACUUUAAGUCUCCUGAAGGAACGUUGAAGACGACGACGUUGAUAGGCCGGGUGUGUAAGCGCAGCGAUGCGUUGAGCUAACCGGUACUAAUGAACCGUGAGGCUUAACCUUACAACGCCGAAG